This 270-nucleotide ribosomal RNA is filed under the name uncultured archaeon. RNAcentral describes it as "partial 16S ribosomal RNA". It matches the Rfam family "Archaeal small subunit ribosomal RNA", at positions 477 to 747 of the family's 1478-position model. The record is from RNAcentral.
CAGCGGCCCUAGUGGUGAUCGUUAUUAUUGGGCCUAAAGCGUCCGUAGCCGGUUCGGUAAAUCUCUGGGUAAAUCGUUGGGCUUAACUCAACGAAUUCUGGGGAGACUGCCGAACUUGGGACCGGGAGAGGUCGGAGGUACUCCAGGGGUAGGGGUGAAAUCCUGUAAUCCUUGGGGGACCACCGGUGGCGAAAGCGUCCGGCCAGAACGGGUCCGACGGUAAGGGACGAAGCCCUGGGGCGCGAACCGGAUUAGAUACCCGAGUAGUCC